Nelumbo nucifera (sacred lotus) is the source of this 1312-nucleotide non-coding RNA. The record is from RefSeq and is a predicted model, not a curated record. Lineage: Eukaryota; Viridiplantae; Streptophyta; Magnoliopsida; Proteales; Nelumbonaceae.
UUGAUGUUUAGCGACAGUCGAUUGCCCCAUAUGAAUCACACACUCCGCGCCUCUCCCUCUUCACGAUUCGUCUUCUUCCCGCCCUAUCCUCUCCCAGUCGAUUCUGUCAUCUCUCUCUCGCACUCGCUCUGUCUCGCUCGCUCACUCGCCUGCUCUCUCUCUACUUUCUCACAACCGAAGAACUACCUCGGUCUGUAGUUUCUCACAACCGGACGGCAACCAGAGGGCUCUCUCUCUUUCUCUCUAUACUUUCUCACUACUGGAGAACGACCUCGGUCUAAGUUUCUCACAACCGGACGAUGGUAGAGGGUGAUGUCGAUCUCAACUUUCUCACAACCGAUGAACAACCGCGGUCCAGAUUUUCUCACAAUCGGACAACAACCAGAGGGAAACCUUGAUAUUGGCUUUCUCACCACCAGAUAGACGACCAGAUAUCGACAUUAACAGGUAGGCUGGAGAGUCCUAUGCAUUUAGUAAGGAGAAUGGCUAGCUCUGUGGCAUUGGUGUUCUCUAAAGUGGUUGACCCAAAAAAUCCUCUUUACCUUGAUGAUAGUUUCAAUGGAGAGACUAUUGACUGGGAAUUUGGGUUUUCUACCCAAUCCAGGGGGAUUUCAUCCAGUUUGAAUGGCAAAAAAGAGAUUCAUGGUGAUGUGAAAAUAUCUUCCAUUACUGGGUCAAACAAGGAAGUAGACAAUGCUGACGCCAGAAUAAAUACCAAAAUGAAGCGUAAAAAUAAGAAGCUAUCUGGUGGAAAGAGCACUCGAUGUUGCUAAAAAACUUGUAAAAGCAUCACCUGAUGAACUCCAGCAUGUGUUUGGUGAUCUUGUGAGAGCUCUUGCACAGGUCCGUUGCUCUGAUUUGACCCUCAAAGGGGAGGAAGAAUAAGCUGAAAUAAAGAGGUAAAGAGCACUAGUUGCAUUGCUUGUCACAUGUCCAUUUGAAUCUGUGGAUGUCCUCAACAAACUAUUAUCCUCUCCUAAUGUGGAUGUUAGUCAACGUAUCCUAUACUUGAUGUAAUGACUGAUGCAGCUGAGGAGCUUGCAGAUGCUAAAAUCAUCAGAUCAGAACGGAAUAAGAAGAUACUUAUAUCAUCAAUGUCAGAGAGCGAGCCAUGGUUUUUGCCUGGUAACAGAGGAACCCCUAGAGCGGGUUCCUAGAAAGAGGUCUCAGACACAGGACCUUUAAGUUGGUCAUAUUGCUAUGACAGAAAUCUUCCCUUGAAACCAAAUCAAAUCAAAGUGGGGAAGUCACGAAGAUGGAGCAUCCGCUCAAAAAAUAAAUUCCCUGUAUAUGCUCCCAAUACAAACAUCAA